RNAcentral lists this ribosomal RNA (441 nucleotides) under Niallia circulans. Its description in RNAcentral is "bacterial SSU rRNA". It matches the Rfam family "Bacterial small subunit ribosomal RNA", at positions 951 to 1391 of the family's 1533-position model. The record is from RNAcentral. Lineage: Bacteria; Bacillati; Bacillota; Bacilli; Caryophanales; Bacillaceae.
UNGAAGCAACGCGAAGAACCUUACCAGGUCUUGACAUCUUCUGACACUCCUAGAGAUAGGACGUUCCCCUUCGGGGNNCAGAGUGACAGGUGGUGCAUGGUUGUCGUCAGCUCGUGUCGUGAGAUGUUGGGUUAAGUCCCCCAACGACCGCAACCCGUGAUUUUUGUUUCCAGCAUUUAUUCGGGCACUAUAAGGCGACUGCCGGUGCCAAACCGGAGGAAGGUGGGGAUGAUCUCAAAUCAUCAUGCCCCUUAUGACCUGGGGUACACACGUGAUACAAUGGAUGGUACAAAGGGCAGCAAAGCGGUGACGCCUAGCAAAUCCCAUAAAACCAUUCUCAGUUCGGAUUGUAGGCUGCAACUCGCCUACAUGAAGCUGGAAUCGUUAGUAAUCGCGGAUCAGCAUGCCGCGGUGAAUACGUUCCCGGGCCUUGUACACACC